UGCGUAGGCGGAAUAAUAAGUCAGUGGUGAAAUCCUGCAGCUCAACCGUAGAACUGCCAUUGAUACUGUUAUUCUUGAAUGUAGUUGAGGUAGGCGGAAUGUGUAAUGUAGCGGUGAAAUGCUUAGAUAUUACACAGAACACCGAUUGCGAAGGCAGCUUGCUAAACUAUUAUUGACGCUGAUGCACGAAAGCGUGGGGAGCGAACAGGAUUAGAUACCCUGGUAGUCC
This 229-nucleotide ribosomal RNA is filed under the name uncultured bacterium. RNAcentral describes it as "partial 16S ribosomal RNA". It matches the Rfam family "Bacterial small subunit ribosomal RNA", at positions 568 to 796 of the family's 1533-position model. The record is from RNAcentral.